AGGUUGACAUCCUUAUUCUGUCAGCUCUUUCUGGAACAAGCAAAUAACUUUGAAGUUUUACUGGAUGGAAUUCUCUCAGACUAAAAAAACUGAUUAAUAUUGGAGAGAAGGAGUAAUAAGAAGGGGAACAGUUGACUUCACACAGAGAAUCUUUGCUAAGAUGAGCUCUGCAGGUGCAGAAAGAACCAUAGAGGAGGACGUCAUCUGGGUCUGCUCUGAGUCCUAGACCUCUGGGCAUGCUCCAUCGUGGUGGUGGACGUCUUUGUAAGCAGAGAAGCAAAGUCUACGACAGUUUAAAAUGACAUUAAACAAAUGCAGAAAAUCCCGUGGCAAUGGCUUUUCCUGCCUAAGACACGUGGGUCGUGCUCUGUGACUUCAGGGACUGAUAGAGUAAGAGGCACUGGCAGAUGUCUAUCUUCUAAUAUGUGAGCUCUGGAAGCAUUAUGCAAAGCAGCAUAGGGUUUCAGUCACUGGCGCACAGAAGCCUCCAUUUGAAAGGGUGUGGUGUGUUGCAAGACGCAUGAAGUCACUUCUUAGAGGUGGAUUUAAUAAGGGAGGAUUAAAGAGAAGCAAACACAAUUCUCCAGAUCAGAAGAAUAACUUGCAUGCAAGCACCUAUUUUAAUUAUUCUUCUUUUCUCCAUCCUGAGAAAUUAUGCAAAAAUCUGAGGCUCAAAUACUGAAACUCAAAAAAUGGACUCAAUAUACUGAAAGAGAAAAUUUAACAAGUGAGAAAAGCACCAUAUCAUAGUGGCAAACCGUUGGAGGGACAGUGGCAGAGUGGCAGCCAAGGGACCGGCCCUGAGACGUGGCUGUUUUGUUUCCUGGCGAAGAGGUGUUCUAGUGGCUCUUGGCUUGAGGUGUGAGGCCUGCCCUGAAGGAGCAGGAGUCCACCAGGAAGGGCCACUUUGAGAGUGAAGCUCACCUAGGUCAGCAGCAGAAGGAGCACGGGCCACAACCAAGGUCUGCAUAACGCAACGAUGCAUCAAGUCACGAGGAGGACGUGAGUGUUCUCCCCACACCCCAUCCCUGAGGAUGGAGAGCUAAUGUUUUAAAAAAUCGAAAAUAUCGUUACAUGCUUAUUUGAAAAAACAAACAGAAACCUUUGAAACAAUACAUAAACAUACAUAAAGCAAGAAAUAGUUAAGAUUUUUGAGCACUCACUGUUUCAAGGAUUCACAGGUGUUAACUCAUGUAAUUCUCAUGACAAUGCCGCGAGUACCACUUCUCCUCCCCUCCAAAUUGGGCAUAGCAGGCAGCGAGAGAGAAAGUAACUUUUCCAAGCAUACUCAUAGAGUGAAAGUGUGAGCUGAUAUUUGAACUCAGGCAGUUUGUACUGGAGACAAAGACACCAAAUCGCCUGUCUUGUCCAUUCUUGUACUCGCAAUAGGAAAUAUGUUAAAAAUACAGACUCCUGAGCCUCACUCCAAAGCUACUGAAUCAGAAUCUUUGGAGGUGGGUCCCAGGAAUCUGUAUUUUUAACUUGUUCCCUAGUAGUUUUUGCAAAGUCUUCUACAGACCGGCAUUGGGAAGGAGAGGGUAAUGGAAACAACUAAAAAAAAGCUUUUCCAGGUAGGGUAGUAAAGCCUUAUAAUUUAAUGACGGGCUAUUCAGUAAAUUCAGAGGUCAUCUGGAAGAUGUCUGUGGAUGGACAUAUGUGGGGUGUGUGCUGUAUGUCACUAUACACAUAUAUGUGAGCAUACAUGUAUGUGUGAAAAGUGCCCAGAAUCAGACAACUGAUAAAGACAUAAAGACUCUGAAGAUAGAUUAGAUCUGAGAUGCUGAUGAAGCUACCUGUGGCCAAUCUAGUUCUGUUGGUGGUCAGAACUAAAAUGACACUGCUAGGACAUAUCAGUAAUUAGUUGAGAUAUUUAUGGUUAACUGUGUAAUAAAUUUGGUUUAUUAGUUUACCCAGGGGGUGAUUUAAAAAAAUAUUAUUGAUUUGUUUCUCCUAAAGUCACAAUUGAAGAAUACCACUCAGGAAUAGAAGAAAUUCCUAAUCUAUCCGGGAUCUGUAAUAAGAAACCCAUCUGAGAUCUGGCGAGGCAUGGCUGUGCCAUGACCCCCGGUAGGCACAGCUAUACAACUGCAUAGGGACAGUUACAGAAUGGCAUCGAGAGAUGCGAAGGUUACUUCGUUUUUGUUGCACAGUGGGUCUAGGAUUUUGUACUCAAUUUGACACCUCAAAAACAAUCCAUUUCAUUGAUUCACUCUAAGGUGAACCUCUUGGCGAUGACCUUAAAAUCCAGAUAGAAAUGAGUCCCACUGUCUCUCUCCCUGGACAGUACUGGGUAAACACAGGUCUUAUUCUUGGGCUAUCAUUUCCUUUGACUCCUCACGAACCACUACCCUUCAGUUAGUUAGUCCGGUUACAUUUGCCAUUAAAACAACCAAAUACUGGCCUCAUGGCUCUGUAAGGCAGUGUUUAUGUCAGAAGAUGUGAGGAGUCACUUGAAAUCAUUUAUUUAAGAAAAAGAGAUUAAAAGUUAAUGAACAAGAAAGACCCCGAAAGGACAUCCUUCAUGUUCAUGACUGUUUACCUUUUGUUCCUUCUUUAAUUCUGCAUAUUUCUAUUUUGAAAUAAACUUCUAAGAUUUUCUUAACAUCGUCUUUUUUAUUUUAACCCUUCUUCCCCCCUUUUUAACCUUUCUUCCCAAUUCUAAUCGACUGUUACUUUUAUUUAUGCCUUUGGAUUGCAAAACUGAAUUGGAAUGUUUUCUUCUUUAUUAUUUGAAUAUUGCACUGUGCUUCUGUCUGUGUCUUAUAUUCUCCCUCUUAUUUUUUAUUAUUUGUCUCAAAUUCCUUGGAUGCUUCAGGCCAUUCAGUACUUUCACCCACCGUUCUUUCUUUUUGCUUUUUGAAUUACCCCAUGAGCCCUCACCACCCACUCCUUCUCCCUCCUCCAUAGGCAGUUGUGUCAGGAGAGUGGAGUUUUUCAUUACGGAUUCAGCAGAAUUCAUAGGUGCUUGAGUGACAGCCUUCCUGCUGGGAGUCGGCCAUCUUGUCCAGUUCUCAUACUCCUAAGAUGCGGGGUGAGGCCGUAAUCUUUCUCAUAUUUUAUUGAUGGAUACAUUGAAGUGAUAGAGAUUAAACAACUUUCCCAGGAACAAACAAUGAGUCAAUGAUACAUGUUUUGCUGAUUAUCUAUCCAUUAGAAGUAGACCCAUUGGCAACAUUCUUCAUCUAUAAGAAACCUCAAACAAACAUAACAAAUACUCUUCUAAACACAAAUGACAACUUUGUGAAGAUCCCAAUACGGGCUCUUGGGAGGGUCCCCUGUUUCUUUGCCCUCUAGUUCCCUGAAGCAUCCUCUCUUUAUCAACAGGCUCAGAUGCUCAGCACAACGGCUCUCCAUUUCAUUCUCCCUUCUAAGCCGAGAUCCUAUGACCUACUUUCUCCUCCCCUUUCAAAAAGCAGAUAUUGCACAUUAGAAUUUCCCAAAGAUUACUGAGCACUUAAUUUGUUUCUACACACUUUGCUGAAGGUCUCUGUUAUUAUCUCUAGUUCACACAUAUUUAAUAGCAUACGUGUAAGGCCAGUCUCAAGAGAUAUAACCGUAUCUCUUGGUUCUCCCUGUUCAACCUUUUAGAAUCCAUAGACUAUGCCUUUCAGUCGAUAUGUUCCUAGUUUAGAUGUCUUGACUUUCUGAUGGUGAAAUCAGUGACCCUGGUUAUUUAUGUGUGACAAGAUGGGAGUGUUGUCCGAGGAUUGGACAAGGCCUUCUCUCUUACCAUCUCUGGAUGGUUCAUUGCAGGAAAUUUUCUGUCCUUUAACCCCAGGAAGUGUCACAGACAUUUCCCUUCUCUGUUCACAAUGCUGGAUCUAUUUUUGCCCACAUGGCAAUGAAGUUGUUUUAUAAGCUUAAAAAUAGCCUCCUCCUUUUAUUCCUAUUCUUCUACUACUCCAGCCCUCUGCUUUUCUUAGUCUUUUAGCAAAUUAUUGUAUUCACUGAAGGAUAUAGAAGUCCCACCAUAGGGGGUGAGGAGGUAGGACUGCAAAUUGGAAGCCCAGCUGCAAAAUGGAGGGGAUUGAGGAUAAUGCUUUACUCUAAUUAAAAAAACACAAUUUUUCAAGUUUUCGAAAGUAAUUGGAUGGCCACGCUUAUUAAUCAUCAUCAUGUUACAAAUAAUAGUUAACAAAGUGCCCUGUGCUUUACAUGUACUAAAUCCUAUAAGAUAUAUUUAAGACGUCCUUGCAUUUUUUUGCUACAUUUCAUAGGUGAGAAAACAGGUCAGAGAGUUUAUACAGCUUGCCCAAGGCCACACAGCCAAAAAAUGGUGCAGCAGUUUUCAAACCCAGGUCAGGAUGAGACCCACGCUGGUGCUGAGCUGUUUCUCCACUGGAGUAACUCGGAUGUGGUCUGAGAUGUCCAGUGGGAAGAACUCGUUGCUAUAAAAUAAAACCAUGUAUAAUAGGUACACAAAAUCUGUGCAGUCUGAUAUCGUGUUGCACAAUAAAUGUAACUGGAAGCACACCAACAAUGCUUGUUAGUAUCACUUUUAUGCAGUCAAAUCAAUAUUGUUUUUAAAGAUUUUACUUUUCCUUUUUCCCCACAAAGGUCCCCGGUACAUAGUGGUGUAUUUUU
Equus caballus (horse) is the source of this 4584-nucleotide non-coding RNA. The record is from RefSeq and is a predicted model, not a curated record. Lineage: Eukaryota; Metazoa; Chordata; Mammalia; Perissodactyla; Equidae.